UCCGGCUUAUCACCGGCGGUUUCUUUAGAGUGCCCAACUAAAUGAUGGCAACUAAAGACGAGGGUUGCGCUCGUUGCGGGACUUAACCCAACACCUCACGGCACGAGCUGACGACAGCCAUGCAGCACCUGUAUGAAAGUCAGUACCAUCCCGUUAAGGACUGGUUUUGUUGUUCAUAUGUCAAGGGCUGGUAAGGUUGUUCGCGUUGCAUCGAAUUAAUCCACAUCAUCCACCGCUUGUGCGGGUCCCCGUCAACUCCUUUGAGUUUUAACCUUGCGGCCGUACUCCCCAGGCGGCUCACUUCACGCGUUAGCUACGGUACCAAGGAAUCGCUUCCCCAACACCUAGUGAGCAUCGUUUAAGGCCAGGACUAC
Molecule: unclassified non-coding RNA, 374 nt
Filed under: uncultured Pseudomonadota bacterium
Lineage: Bacteria; Pseudomonadati; Pseudomonadota
Description: uncultured proteobacterium contains 16S-23S intergenic spacer region
Source: RNAcentral